RNAcentral lists this ribosomal RNA (495 nucleotides) under uncultured bacterium. RNAcentral's name for it is "partial 16S ribosomal RNA". It matches the Rfam family "Bacterial small subunit ribosomal RNA", at positions 28 to 507 of the family's 1533-position model. The record is from RNAcentral.
GAUGAACGCUGGCGGCGUGCCUAAUACAUGCAAGUCGAACGCUGAAGGAGGAGCUUGCUCUUCUGGAUGAGUUGCGAACGGGUGAGUAACGCGUAGGUAACCUGCCUGGUAGCGGGGGAUAACUAUUGGAAACGAUAGCUAAUACCGCAUGACAACAGUUAUUGCAUGAUAACUGUUUAAAAGGGGCAACUGCUCCACUACCAGAUGGACCUGCGUUGUAUUAGCUAGUUGGUGAGGUAACGGCUCACCAAGGCGACGAUACAUAGCCGACCUGGGAGGGUGAUCGGCCACACUGGGACUGAGACACGGCCCAGACUCCUACGGGAGGCAGCAGUAGGGAAUCUUCGGCAAUGGACGGAAGUCUGACCGAGCAACGCCGCGUGAGUGAAGAAGGUUUUCGGAUCGUAAAGAUCUGUUGUGAGAGGAGAACGAGUGUGAGAGUGGAAAGUUCACACUGUGACGGUAGCUUACCAGAAAGGGACGGCUAACUACGUG